AUUGAACGCUGGCGGCAUGCCUUACACAUGCAAGUCGAACGGCAGCACGGGAGCAAUCCUGGUGGCGAGUGGCGAACGGGUGAGUAAUAUAUCGGAACGUGCCCAGUAGUGGGGGAUAACUGCUCGAAAGAGCAGCUAAUACCGCAUACGACCUGAGGGUGAAAGGGGGGGAUCGCAAGACCUCUCGCUAUUGGAGCGGCCGAUAUCAGAUUAGCUAGUUGGUGGGGUAAAGGCCUACCAAGGCAACGAUCUGUAGUUGGUCUGAGAGGACGGCCAGCCACACUGGGACUGAGACACGGCCCAGACUCCUACGGGAGGCAGCAGUGGGGAAUUUUGGACAAUGGGCGCAAGCCUGAUCCAGCAAUGCCGCGUGCAGGAAGAAGGCCUUCGGUUGUAAACUGCUUUGUCAGGAGAAAUACUCUAGUUAAGUAACCCUUGGGGGAGUGACGGUACCGUGAGAAUAAGACACGGCUAACUACGUGCCAGC
RNAcentral lists this ribosomal RNA (487 nucleotides) under uncultured bacterium. RNAcentral's name for it is "bacterial SSU rRNA". It matches the Rfam family "Bacterial small subunit ribosomal RNA", at positions 30 to 512 of the family's 1533-position model. The record is from RNAcentral.